CCUUCGGGCCUCAUGCCAUCAGAUGUGCCCAGAUGGGAUUAGCUAGUAGGUGGGGUAACGGCUCACCUAGGCGACGAUCCCUAGCUGGUCUGAGAGGAUGACCAGCCACACUGGAACUGAGACACGGUCCAGACUCCUACGGGAGGCAGCAGUGGGGAAUAUUGCACAAUGGGCGCAAGCCUGAUGCAGCCAUGCCGCGUGUGUGAAGAAGGCCUUCGGGUUGUAAAGCACUUUCAGCGGGGAGGAAGGCGGUGAGGUUAAUAACCUCACCGAUUGACGUUACCCGCAGAAGAAGCACCGGCUAACUCCGUGCCAGCAGCCGCGGUAAUACGGAGGGUGCAAGCGUUAAUCGGAAUUACUGGGCGUAAAGCGCACGCAGGCGGUCUGUCAAGUCGGAUGUGAAAUCCCCGGGCUCAACCUGGGAACUGCAUUCGAAACUGGCAGGCUAGAGUCUUGUAGAGGGGGGUAGAAUUCCAGGUGUAGCGGUGAAAUGCGUAGAGAUCUGGAGGAAUACCGGUGGCGAAGGCGGCCCCCUGGACAAAGACUGACGCUCAGGUGCGAAAGCGUGGGGAGCAAACAGGAUUAGAUACCCUGGUAGUCCACGCCGUAAACGAUGUCGAUUUGGAGGUUGUGCCCUUGAGGCGUGGCUUCCGGAGCUAACGCGUUAAAUCGACCGCCUGGGGAGUACGGCCGCAAGGUUAAAACUCAAAUGAAUUGACGGGGGCCCGCACAAGCGGUGGAGCAUGUGGUUUAAUUCGAUGCAACGCGAAGAACCUUACCUGGUCUUGACAUCCACAGAACUUUCCAGAGAUGGAUUGGUGCCUUCGGGAACUGUGAGACAGGUGCUGCAUGGCUGUCGUCAGCUCGUGUUGUGAAAUGUUGGGUUAAGUCCCGCAACGAGCGCAACCCUUAUCCUUUGUUGCCAGCGGUCCGGCCGGGAACUCAAAGGAGACUGCCAGUGAUAAACUGGAGGAAGGUGGGGAUGACGUCAAGUCAUCAUGGCCCUUACGACCAGGGCUACACACGUGCUACAAUGGCAUAUACAAAGAGAAGCGACCUCGCGAGAGCAAGCGGACCUCAUAAAGUAUGUCGUAGUCCGGAUUGGAGUCUGCAACUCGACUCCAUGAAGUCGGAAUCGCUAGUAAUCGUAGAUCAGAAUGCUACGGUGAAUACGUUCCCGGGCCUUGUACACACCGCCCGUCACACCAUGGGAGUGGGUUGCAAAAGAAGUAGGUAGCUUAACCUUCGGGAGGGCGCUUACCACUUUGUGAUUCAUGACUGGGGUGAAGUCGUAACAAGGUAACCGUAGGGGAACCUGCGGUUG
Molecule: ribosomal RNA, 1324 nt
Filed under: Klebsiella pneumoniae
Lineage: Bacteria; Pseudomonadati; Pseudomonadota; Gammaproteobacteria; Enterobacterales; Enterobacteriaceae
Description: bacterial SSU rRNA
Rfam family: Bacterial small subunit ribosomal RNA
Source: RNAcentral